CUUCACUCUCUCCCUCUCACGCGAUUUUGGGAUUCCCAGUUCUCCCCUCAAUUUUCUCUCUCCUCUGAAGAUAAUCGCCAUCGUAGCCUCCAAACGGAAAAUCGCUCCGUCGUCGCAACUCCAAUUGUUGAUUUAAGAUCACUGGAGUAGAAAAAAAUACGAACGGCGAAGCAAACACAAACAUGACAAACCAGCACCAAAUCCAGUCGUGCUGAAGAAGGAAAUAAGAAUGAACGCGCCAAAGAAACGGAGCCAAUUGUCCCGCCAUCACUUCUGAACGACAUCAUGAACAAUUUAGAGGAAGAAACCGAAUCUCACCCUUGAUGGAAAAACUGAAGCCAAUGUUAAUUAUGAUGUCUUCAAUUAUGUGUUGGGUGUAGUCAUGUGUAUUGCUUUUGUUACUUGCAUGUGUGUGCUCUUUUAUGUGUAUAUGUCAAGUUAUAACAUUUAGUUUGGGGAUUCAGAACAUUUAGCUUAGGAAUGCAGAACAUUUAGUUUGGGAACUCAUAACAUUUAGUUUAGG
Long non-coding RNA from Spinacia oleracea (spinach), 523 nucleotides. RefSeq lists it as uncharacterized. The record is from RefSeq and is a predicted model, not a curated record. Lineage: Eukaryota; Viridiplantae; Streptophyta; Magnoliopsida; Caryophyllales; Amaranthaceae. The transcript is spliced from 5 exons.